Molecule: unclassified non-coding RNA, 349 nt
Filed under: Hevea brasiliensis (rubber tree)
Lineage: Eukaryota; Viridiplantae; Streptophyta; Magnoliopsida; Malpighiales; Euphorbiaceae
Source: RNAcentral
UGUAUUAAUUUAAUCAAAAGUAAUAUUCCCCUGAAAAAGUAGUAAGUUAGACUUAUAUAUGCGACUGAAUCCCUAAUUCCCUAAAUCAAAAAAAUAAAAUAAGACCCUAAAAACUAAUUAAAAAGCUAGAGUGACUGCACUCCUACCUAAGGCCCAAAAACUCAUAAAUAAGGCCCAACACACAUAAGUCUGACAAAACAUAAUUAAAUAAAACCAUUUAGAACUGUCCUAGAUAAAGAAAAAACACUAAAUUUACGUAGAAACUUGUCAAUUCUGUCUAAAUAUUUCUAGAUCAUCUCCCACGCAAACUUGAAUCAAAUUAAGUCACUUUCCAUUUUCUUGUAACCUC